UUAUGUAUAUUUCUAUUUUUUUCCUAGGCUAAGGCCCAUGUAGUGUGCGGGGGUGACCAGAAUCUCAGUACCAUGUGACUAACCCCUCCCCUUCCCCUCCUCUCCUCAGUGUCCUUUUGUCCUUGCUUUCCCCCCCCCCCUCUCAGCGUCACUGUGUUGACCACUUCUAUAACAAAUUUACCCCGUGAAUAAACGUAAUUUCUCCUGCUUGGCCAGGUUAUAGAGGCGAAUUUUUCACCUAAUCCCAGAGAAUGGGGAGCCCUUAAUACGAUAAAAUUAAUUCUAUAAUGGUAAGGUCUUAAACCAGCCCAAACAAACCCCAGAUAAUUACGCCGCGCCAAUGAGGUUGACGAAUCUGAUAAGUCUUCUUUGCUUCGCUAUCCUAUCACCCUUGUUGCUACGCAAGCCGGGAAGAGAUACCAGACUUUGACUAAUUCCCCAAUUGAUUUCAAAAGUCCAUUGAAUUAAACUUCUUAAAGUAACAACUAUAAAGUAAACAGUAACUUAAUUAUUCAUAUUUUUCAUCCCUGAACUCACAACCUAGUCGCCCUCCCCCCCCCCUACUAAAAACAAAAUUAUAACUUAAUAAAUUUCCCCAUUGGAAACCUUUAUCCUUAGUUUCCCGCCGAUUUCCUCACAAGCAAAGCCAGUCUCUCUCGGAUUCUCCUCAGACCCUCUUGGAUUCCCCUCAGAUAUUCCUGUUGAUAAACUAUUUCUGAGUGGAUAGAUAUUCGCAUUUUUUCGUUCUGUUUUUGUUGGUUUUCUCCACGGGACUAGUGAAACCACCUGGUUCGAGAUCACCGUGUGAGACUGUCCUCAGGUCUAUACAUACUUUUUGGGUAUAUAUUUGUUAUUUAUUUAUUUAUUCUCUGGUCUCCCCCGCAAUUCAGUAGUCGCGAAAAUAUCUCCAUCGUAGUUUUAUGUAAUUGAAGAAUACGCUACCAUUUAUUUUGUAUUUCGGAAUUAUGUAACUGAAGAGUACGCUACCAUUUAUUUUGUAUUUCUGAAUUCCUUUCUUAUUAUUAUUAUUUCGGAUUAUUCCAUUAUUUAUUAAAAAUCAUAAAAGUGUCA
This is a long non-coding RNA of Scylla paramamosain (green mud crab), 1071 nucleotides long. RefSeq lists it as uncharacterized. The transcript is spliced from 2 exons. The record is from RefSeq and is a predicted model, not a curated record. NCBI's taxonomy places the organism in Eukaryota, Metazoa, Arthropoda, Malacostraca, Decapoda, Portunidae.